RNAcentral lists this ribosomal RNA (253 nucleotides) under uncultured bacterium. RNAcentral describes it as "partial 16S ribosomal RNA". It matches the Rfam family "Bacterial small subunit ribosomal RNA", at positions 524 to 776 of the family's 1533-position model. The record is from RNAcentral.
UACGGAGGGUGCAAGCGUUAUCCGGAUUCACUGGGUUUAAAGGGUGCGUAGGCGGGGCAGUAAGUCCGUGGUGAAAUCUCUGAGCUUAACUCAGAAACUGCCGUGGAUACUAUUUGCCUUGAAUAUUGUGGAGGUGAGCGGAAUAUGUCAUGUAGCGGUGAAAUGCUUAGAUAUGACAUAGAACACCAAUUGCGAAGGCAGCUCACUACACAAUCAUUGACGCUGAGGCACGAAAGCGUGGGGAGCAAACAGG